CCUACGGGAGGCUGCAGUCGAGAAUCUUCCGCAAUGGACGAAAGUCUGACGGAGCGACGCCGCGUGGAGGAUGAAGUGCUUCGGUAUGUAAACUCCUUUUGCCAGGGAAAAAGUUUAUUGAUUGUACCUGGAGAAUAAGAGGUUGCUAAACUCGUGCCAGCAGCAGCGGUAAUACGAGUGCCUCGAGCGUUAUCCGGAAUUAUUGGGCGUAAAGGGUGUGUAGGCGGUUGUGUUAGUCUCGCGUUAAAUCUCUUGGCUCAACUGAGAGGCUGCGUGGGAAACGGCAUAACUAAGAGGAUGGAAGGGGUCUCUGGAACUCAUAGUGUAGCGGUAAAAUGCGUUGAUAUUAUGGGGAACACCGAAAGCGAAGGCAAGAGACUGGUCCACUCCUGACGCUGAAACACGAAAGCGUGGGUCGCGAAUGGGAUUAGAUACCCUGGUAGUC
Molecule: ribosomal RNA, 445 nt
Filed under: uncultured bacterium
Lineage: Bacteria
Description: bacterial SSU rRNA
Rfam family: Bacterial small subunit ribosomal RNA
Source: RNAcentral